RNAcentral lists this long non-coding RNA (3527 nucleotides) under Lynx pardinus (Iberian lynx). The record is from RNAcentral. Lineage: Eukaryota; Metazoa; Chordata; Mammalia; Carnivora; Felidae.
CCAGAUGGGGGCCCGCCAGCCCACAGGCUCUCUCAGCCUUUCUCUUCCUGUUCUUCCUCACCCUUCUAGAAACAAAGGUGAGCCCAUCUGACUCAAAACCAGGCAGCUACAGGCACUUUUGGGGAAGGGGAAUCUCUAACACUUCUUAAUUCCUUAGGGAGAAAUGCUCAGCCAAGCCUCAUCCUUUUCAAAGGCAGAUGCAAAAGACCUACAAAAUGGUAGUCAAGUUUGCUUUACUUUAUACCAGGCAAUGAACCAAACGCUGAAUGCCCAUGUUAUUUAAUCCUCACAUUAGCUCCGGGACAGGGACCUAUCAUCCUCAUUGAUAAAUGAAAACCCUGAGGCUUGGAGGGAACACAAACCUUAGUGGGACUCAACUCCUCUGAAGUCCGGCACUGCCGCCCCACCACACCCCUCCACUCCUGGAAUCGCUGAACAGCGCUGUUGCAUUUCCUGUCCCCACAGAAGAAAUGCUUGAAGUCAAGAAGGAAAAGGUCAUGUGAGAAAUAUGUGAAAUCCUAGGGGUUCCCUGCCCUUUGGCCUGUGUUAUGAAUUCUAGCUCGCAGAGAUAUCCUGCCUUGAUGGAAGGAGGUGGUUCAGGACACUCUGCUCUGGAAAUGACAAUAGCUAGGCCGGUGCCCAGAGAGGAAAGAGUAUGGCAAAUAUUGCCCAGCUUAAGCCCUUCCCACUUGAGCACUCAAACUACUCUGGGUCUUCUAAAAGCAUCAGAUACACCUCAGUAUCUUAUCAAAAGUUUUAUCAAAAGUUUUAACCAUAGGGUUUAAAAGGCCUGUAAACAGAAAGUCCGAGCAAAGGCACUGUAGCAAGACACAAGGGUGAAAUAGGACCAGAUACGCCCCGGACAUGUACCCUGUAGUCAUGCUCCUGAGAACAUAAAGGAGUGCGGAGGUGGCCUGUUGAAGUUCACAGGCUGGUGUCUGGGAUGUGUGAGCACAGCAAUUCUAUAUUGGGAGAGAGUGAGAUCUCCAGGAGGAAGUCAUGGAGAAUUAGAGGAGCUACAUAAACUGAAUUAUCUGCUGGCAACCGGCGUCAAUACCACCCCCCCUCUAAGGUCUUGUCUUGGUUGCGGAGACGCCAGGAACUACAUUUCCCAGGAUCCCUUUGCCUAAGGCUCGCUCAUGAAAGGCAGGCACUCACAGGGGCCUAGGAAGGUAAAGGAGGAAGCCAUUAUUCUCUGGAGGCAGUUGCAGCCAGCUGUGUGGGAAGACGGAGGUUUCAGGCAGUCUUCCUUAGAACUGCAGUAGCUUCGAGGCAAGCUCUUAACUUUGGAUCUUUUGGCUGAGAUCUGUGUUGGCUUUCUCUACCUUCUGCAGGAGCUUCUCUGAUCUUUGUUUUCCCAGUCCUUCCAAUGUUUAUUGUUAAACUUAACCCUGAUUCCUUUUUAAAUCCUUCUCACCUGAAAUACACUGAGUGGCUCUUGUUUUCCUAAUACAAUAUAGAGGCUUAGUUGAUCUCAAGGAUUUACUCAACAUUUUGCUGUAAAUUGGCCCCACUGAAAUUUGGAUGGAAAAGAGCUCUCCUUCAUUGCAUUUAGGGCUGUUGCUAGGGAAGAGGAUACUGUGAAAGCUUUUUUGCCCUCAAAUCUAGAAAUGUCUUUGGUUAUGAAGCACAUGGAGGUAGUCUCUGUGGGCCUAUCUGGGCCUUUCUUUUCAACUGCAGUUUGCAGAUUGGAGGGACACUCAUCCUCCUGCACUCUUAAGGGACUUUCAUGGUAAGAAAGGCAGAGAAAGACCCAAAGAUGCCAAGAAGCACCAUUCAAAUUAAUAAAUAUAACCUGAUUGUGGAAUCCAGGUGUUGUGGAUGACUAGUCUCCAUCUUGUGGACAUUGUUUUCCCCCAAAAUUCAAGCUCCACAGGGUUAGGGAGCUUUGUUUUGUUUGUACCAAUUUACCCCAAAUACCUGGGACAGUGUUUAUGGGUGCUCAGCAAAUAUUUGUUGGAUGAAUGGAUAAAUGGCCACCCAGAACUGGGAGGAGACAUACUCAGAUAGGAAUCCGAGACGCCCACAGACUCAACAAUCAGAUAUUACAUGUGUCUGAUUUGCUUCCAUGGUUAUGUCCCUGGCUCUUAGACACUGUACUGCUACCCAAUAUAGAAGAACAAUUAAAAAAAACCAAAAAACCAAAAACCAAAAACCAAAAACACAAGGCCCUGGUCUCUUUAGAACUUGUCUCCUUACACCUUUCUGCUUUCUUCAUAAUUGGGAGGUUUGUUGUAGAUUCAGCUAUCACAGGGGAUGUCUCAAAAAUGGCAUUUCUUGGGGUGCCUGGGUGGCUCAGUUGGUUCAGCGACCGACCUCAGCUCAGGUCAUGAUCUCACGGUGUGUGAGUUCGAGCCCCACGUUGGACUCUGUGCUGACAGCUCAGAGCCUGGAGCCUGCUUUGGAUUCUGUGUCUCCCUCUCUCUCUGCCCCUGCCCCCACUCAUGUUCUCUCUCUCUGUCUCAGAAAUAAACAUUAAAAAAAAUUUUUUUAAUGGCAUUUCUAGGUUUUAUUUGGCCAACUAAAGACAUUUUAAGAAACAAUUCACCAUCCUUAUCAUUUUGAUGUAAACUUAUUGCAAAAAUGUAAAUAUAAACAAUGCAAAAAGAAAUGGGAAGAUGAUCUCAGAAUUCUAACUAAAAACUGAACAAUUUUCUAUUUCACCUUCGACCUGGUUUGGCAUUUGGGAACCCCCAAUCUCCUUCACGUUGCUCAUCCAAUAUCUAAGCAAGGGCACUUUUUGUUAGGUGCUGGGGAUCUAAGAGUCAGCAAGAUAGGCACACUUCUUGCCUUGAGAAGCUUAAAGAGAUUUUUGACAGCACAAAUACUGGGCUCUGUUGAGAAUACAAGACAUCUAACCCAGUUCAAGGGGGAGGCGUAAAUUUCCAGUAAACUUCCCUUUACACGGACACCUGAGAGUCAGCAGGAGUUAUACAGAGAAGUAAACCCGAGGAAGGGAACUCAUUUACAGAUGAGAAAACUGACACCCAGAAAGGGCUCUCAACUUUCUCCAAAUCACAGCCAGAACAAAAAGCACAACCUAGGCUUGAAUUCCUGGGCCCACAGCAGAUAUUGCUACUUCUUCAGUCUUUUUGGUGAGGAUCCUAAAUGUAGACUUGCGGUCUUGGCUGUCCACCUAGCUCUGAGCUGAUUAAAUGGAAGUCUUAACAGCUGGCAGCUAGCAUCCAUUACAGAAGACUAACAGCUUGAAUCUCACCCUUCACUUGAAUUCAGCUGAGUUCCAGUAAUUACUGUUUCUGUACUUUGCCAACUGCUCAGUCCUUUCCUUAAACAAAAACCACUGGAGUGGGACUGGAGUGAGUUAGGGUGGGAGCCAGGAUGGUCAGAAAACAAACCACACGGAUUGCUGCUUCUGGAAGCUUUGUUCUUUAAUGAGCCACGGGGUGAUUUGUUCAUCAAGCUGCUUUUGUGUAGCUAUACAGUGCAUAUUCUGAGUGACACAAACUGCACUUCAUACAGAUGAUGUCUUGCUCCCCCACCUCCAAAAAAAAAAAAAAAAAAAAAAA